ACUGGAUUCCAUGAAGGGAUGUGA
RNAcentral lists this microRNA (24 nucleotides) under Rattus norvegicus (Norway rat). RNAcentral's name for it is "rno-miR-336-3p". Its record names the gene rno-miR-336-3p. The record is from miRBase by way of RNAcentral. Lineage: Eukaryota; Metazoa; Chordata; Mammalia; Rodentia; Muridae.